This 1150-nucleotide ribosomal RNA is filed under the name uncultured bacterium. Its description in RNAcentral is "bacterial SSU rRNA". It matches the Rfam family "Bacterial small subunit ribosomal RNA", at positions 188 to 1346 of the family's 1533-position model. The record is from RNAcentral.
CAUGAUGGGAUUAUUAAAGAAUUUCGGUAUGGGAUGGGGAUGCGUUCCAUUAGUUAGUUGGCGGGGUAACGGCCCACCAAGACGACGAUGGAUAGGGGUUCUGAGAGGAAGGUCCCCCACAUUGGAACUGAGACACGGUCCAAACUCCUACGGGAGGCAGCAGUGAGGAAUAUUGGUCAAUGGACGAGAGUCUGAACCAGCCAAGUAGCGUGAAGGGGGGCUGCCAUAUGGGUUGUAAACUUCUUUUAUAUGGGAAUAAAAUGUUCCACGUGUGGGAUUUUGUAUGUACCAUAUGAAUAAGGAUCGGCUAACUCCGUGCCAGCAGCCGCGGUAAUACGGAGGAUCCGAGCGUUAUCCGGAUUUAUUGGGUUCAAAGGGAGCGUAGGUGGAUUGUUAAGUCAGUUGUGAAAGUUUGCGGCUCAACCGUAAAAUUGCAGUUGAAACUGGCAGUCUUGAGUACAGUAGAGGUGGGCGGAAUUCGUGGUGUAGCGGUGAAAUGCUUAGAUAUCACGAAGAACUCCGAUUGCGAAGGCAGCUCACUGGACUGCAACUGACACUGAGGCUCGAAAGUGUGGGUAUCAAACAGGAUUAGAUACCCUGGUAGUCCACACAGUAAACGAUGAAUACUCGCUGUUUGCGAUAUACAGCAAGCGGCCAAGCGAAAGCAUUAAGUAUUCCACCUGGGGAGUACGCCGGCAACGGUGAAACUCAAAGGAAUUGACGGGGGCCCGCACAAGCGGAGGAACAUGUGGUUUAAUUCGAUGAUACGCGAGGAACCUUACCCGGGCUUAAAUUGCACCUGAAUAAUGUGGAAACAUGUUAGCCGUAAGGCAGGUGUGAAGGUGCUGCAUGGUUGUCGUCAGCUCGUGCCGUGAGGUGUCGGCUUAAGUGCCAUAACGAGCGCAACCCUUAUCUUCAGUUACUAACAGGUUAUGCUGAGGACUCUGGAGAGACUGCCGUCGUAAGAUGUGAGGAAGGUGGGGAUGACGUCAAAUCAGCACGGCCCUUACGUCCGGGGCUACACACGUGUUACAAUGGGAGGUACAGAAGGCCGCUACCUGGCGACAGGAUGCCAAUCCCCAAAACCUCUCUCAGUUCGGAUCGAAGUCUGCAACCCGACUUCGUGAAGCUGGAUUCGCUAGUAAUCGCG